This 438-nucleotide ribosomal RNA is filed under the name uncultured Anaerolineaceae bacterium. RNAcentral's name for it is "bacterial SSU rRNA". It matches the Rfam family "Bacterial small subunit ribosomal RNA", at positions 927 to 1382 of the family's 1533-position model. The record is from RNAcentral. Lineage: Bacteria; Bacillati; Chloroflexota; Anaerolineae; Anaerolineales; Anaerolineaceae.
AAGCAGCGGAGCGUGUGGUUUAAUUCGAUGCUACACGAAGAACCUUACCAGGUUUGACAUGCAAGUGGUAGGAAACGUGAAAAGGACGACCCUUCGGGAGCUUGCACAGGUGCUGCACGGCUGUCGUCAGCUCGUGUCGUGAGAUGUUCGGUUAAGUCCGCUAACGAGCGCAACCCUCACUGUGUGUUAUAUGUGUCACACGGGACUGCCGGUUUAAGCCGGAGGAAGGUGGGAUGACGUCAAGUCAGCAUGGCCUUUAUAUCCUGGGCUACACACACGCUACAAUGGUCGGUACAAUAGGUUGCCAAGCCGCGAGGCGGAGCCAAUCCAAAAAAGCCGGCCUCAGUUCAGAUUGUAGGCUGCAACUCGCCUGCAUGAAGAUGGAGUUGCUAGUAACCGCAGGUCAGCAAUACUGCGGUGAAUACGUUCCCGGGUCUU